Molecule: ribosomal RNA, 785 nt
Filed under: uncultured Neocallimastigales
Lineage: Eukaryota; Fungi; Neocallimastigomycota; Neocallimastigomycetes; Neocallimastigales
Description: partial large subunit ribosomal RNA
Rfam family: Eukaryotic large subunit ribosomal RNA
Source: RNAcentral
GAGAGAGAGACAUGCGCGCAUAUCAAUAAGCGGAGGAAAAGAAACUAACAAGGAUUCCCUUAGUAACGGCGAGUGGAAGCGGGAAGAGCUCAAAUUUGAAAUCUUCAAGGUUCUACCUUGACGAAUUGUAGUUUAUAAGAGGUGUUUUCUGUUAGUGUAGUGGCUAAAAGUUCUUUGGAAUAGGACAUCAUAGAGGGUGAGAAUCCCGUAUUUGUACCAUUACCUCCUAGCGUUGUGAUACACUUUCAACGAGUCGGAUUGUUUGGGAAUGCAGUCCAAAAUGGGUGGUAAAUUUCAUCUAAAGCUAAAUAUUGGCGAGAGACCGAUAACGAACAAGUACCGUGAGGGAAAGAUGAAAAGAACUUUGAAAAGAGAGUUAAACAGUACGUGAAAUUGUCAAAAGGGAAGCGUUUGACACCAGUGUUGUUUUUCCGAAAAUCAAUUACGAAUGUUUUGAUUUUUGAGGAGUUAUGACUUCAUCGGCUUGCUCCUUUCUUUACGAAACUUUCUUAAUGCACUUUUCGGUUAACAAGUCAACAUCAAUUUCUUUUGUUGUAAAAGGGUAUGAGGAAGGUGGCUUUCUUUUCGGAGAAAGUGUUUAUAGCCUUGUGCCUCUGCAAUCGGAGAGAUUGAGGUCUGCAGCGUAGAUCCUUCGGGGUUAGAUAGCAUUUGUGCUAAGUUAUAGCUUUUCAUAGACAACUUGUUGACUAUGAUUCAGUCAUUGUAGCUUACUCGCUGACUGCUAUUUUACCUACGCUUAGGAUGUUGAUAGUCACAGCGUGUAC